UGGGGAAUAUUGCACAAUGGGGGAAACCCGUGAUCCAGCCAUCCCGCGUGUGCGAUGAAGGCCUUCGGGUUGUAAAGCACUUUUGGCAGGAAAGAAACGUCGCGGGUUAAUACCCCGCGAAACUGACGGUACCUGCAGAAUAAGCACCGGCUAACUACGCGCCAGCAGCCGCGGUAAUACGUAGGGUGCAAGCGUUAAUCGGAAUUACUGGGCGUAAAGCGUGCGCAGGCGGUUCGGAAAGAAAGAUGUGAAAUCCCAGAGCUUAACUUUGGAACUGCAUUUUUAACUACCGGGCUAGAGUGUGUCAGAGGGAGGUGGAAUUCCGCGUGUAGCAGUGAAAUGCGUAGAUAUGCGGAGGAACACCGAUGGCGAAGGCAGCCUCCUGGGAUAACACUGACGCUCAUGCACGAAAGCGUGGGGAGCAAACAGGAUUAGAUACCCUGGUAGUCCACGCCCUAAACGAUGUCAACUAGCUGUUGGGGCCUUCGGGCCUUGGUAGCGCAGCUAACGCGUGAAGUUGACCGCCUGGGGAGUACGGUCGCAAGAUU
Molecule: ribosomal RNA, 548 nt
Filed under: uncultured bacterium
Lineage: Bacteria
Description: partial 16S ribosomal RNA
Rfam family: Bacterial small subunit ribosomal RNA
Source: RNAcentral